GCGUGCGUCGUGCGGGCUAACGAACCCCGGCGCGGAAUGCGCCAAGGAAAACCAAAACGAAGCGCUCGCCCUCGCCCGUGCCCCGUUCGCGGUGCGUGCGGGAGGGGGAAGGUGCGCCUCUUGAAUGUCAAAACGACUCUCGGCAACGGAUAUCUCGGCUCUCGCAGAAUCCCGUGAACCAUCGAGUCUUUGAACGCAAGUUGCGCCCGAAGCCUUCGGGCCGAGGGCACGCCUGCCUGGGCGUCACGCAUCGCGUCGCCCCCCAUCCCGUCUCCCCAGGAGCGGGCGCGGGGGGCGGACAUUGGCCUCCCGUGUGCCUCGGCAUGCGGCUGGCCCAAAUGCGAUCCCCCGGCGACGCGCGUCGCGACCAGUGGUGGUUGAAUCAUCAACUCGCGUGCUGUCAGUCGUGCUCCACGGCGUCGUCCGGUUGGGUAUCAUUAUCGACCCUAACUGCGCGAAGCGCUUUCGACCGCGACCCCAGGUCAGGCGGGAUUACCCG
This 499-nucleotide ribosomal RNA is filed under the name Neuracanthus ovalifolius. Its description in RNAcentral is "eukaryotic LSU rRNA". The stretch from base 135 to 246 matches the Rfam family "5.8S ribosomal RNA". The record is from RNAcentral. Lineage: Eukaryota; Viridiplantae; Streptophyta; Magnoliopsida; Lamiales; Acanthaceae.